CCGGACUAAAAUGCGACUCGGUCGAUCGAGGAAAGCGUGGAAGCGUGGAAAACGGAGGGAAGGACGUGUUUUAUGGCAUCGCAUACAUUUCCGCUCUGUGCCGACUUUUCAGGUGUUCCUUACGACGGAAUGGACUGUACAUAUUGACAUGAAAUGGAUACCGGAAUCCUUGGAAAGUGGCAUCAAUUGUCUCGGAAUCCAGCGACGCUAACUUGGAUCACGUAAACAAGAAAUAUACUACGUGUUUUUAAUUUUUACGUAUAAAUAGAAGGCGCUAACCCUUUCUAUCUCCUACUACUUUUAUAUACUUAUUAUUUCAUUGAUGGAUUGAUAUUUUUUGGGUCUCAUCUACAUUUUAUUUUUAUUUUACAUGGGAAUAAAUCAGUUCGAUUAAAUAACCGACUAACGCGCAAUUUGUUAUCUCAUUGAUUUCUCAUGUAAAAAUCCACGUUUCCAAUUUCAGGAAAUAAGAGUAAUUAAUUUUUGCAGAUAUUUAAAUAUUUGCGGUGUAUCCAUUGACGAAACUCUAUCGUUAGUCGCAGACGUGGUGUCGAAAAUGUUAAUAAAUGAGACACGGUGUAAAACGUCCGUGUAUUCGCGAAAAGUCUUUGAUUCUCCUUAAAUUAUCAUUAUUGCUGUGCACCGAUUAAAUACCAACGAUUUCACUGGCAUAUCAUCGACAGGAAACGCGCGCGACCUUUUGAACCGAUCAACGGGAAAAAUCGACGUCCACGAUAGGAGCAUAAAUCGCGAGUGUUUUGUGCGUCUCAUUACCGAGCCCAUUGACAAGUGGGCGAUAAACGGAGAGUACGGUGGAGAGUGUAGCAGCUGCUGCUACUCCGCGAGUUGAAGGCGAAUGACCCCUGAAGAGUGCCGUAAACUAAAAAAAUCAAUGAAUACACUACCGAGAACGUAGUUAUCAACAAUUACCGUGAAAUCAGAAACAGUAAAACGAUAGAAAUCUGUUCCGCAUGUUGUUGUUUCAAAAAUUAGAUUCGACUAAAACAAACAUGGACCAAGUUUCAUCGAUAAAUUUUGCAUAUCUAUUAUUUCCACGCGUCUGAAAGCCGCGAUGAGACAAUUUCGAAUCUGUGAAAGCGUGUUACUCUUCCCGAAGAGAGAAAUGUUAAUUUCCGGAGGUCUUCCUGUUUCUGCAAGAGGGUCGUUCGAUUACGUCGCCGCGAUUUAACGGAUUACGCAAGCACCAGUGUAGAAAGUCGAACGAUUAAGGCAAGGAAAGAGUCGCUAGCUCCGACUUCCUGCAAAUUAGUGAAUGUUUACAUCCCAGAGGCUCGAGGAAGUUCGCACGGGACUUUCUUCGAUCCGGAGAGCUAGUUUAAUUGAAUUAUUUGCCAGAAGAAGGAAGCCGAGACGACGAGAGUUAUUCCCAAAUUUCCAAUCACCGGGACCGUAAAAAAUGCAAUUAGAUGGAAAAUGUAACAGACAACCUCCAGACAGACUAUUCUUAUUCGCUCCUCCGUAUCUUCUCUGGUUGUUUGUAUUUCGCAGUAUACUUUGGCUAUUUCAAUUUUUCCUAGAAUUAAAGAUCCAUGCGCGUUAAAUCGGGAGGACGCGAGGACCACUUAACCCUACAGCGCGCGUUGAUGCGCAUAUGCAUCAACCACAUUUUUCUUUGAUAUCUUGUUACGCAACAGUUUGUUCGUAACGCGACCGAUAGAUACCGAUAGUGUUUAGCGAUAAAAGUCGGAUAGUAAGAUAAUGGGUAAGGAAACGUUUCCGUCCCAUUGGAAGUGUUCAUCAACGUAACUUCGAGACAUAAAUCGAGACAAUGAUCUACACUAAUCUACAGUGAGAUCCCUUAUAACGAGACACGAUCAAGCGCCGCACCCGUACACGGCGAAAAUUCAAAGUCGAUUUUCUCCAAAACAAUGCCUCGCACGAAAAGUUUGUAUUCUACAUUUCCGACUUAUUUCUUCAUGUAGGAGCAACUCUGUCCUCGCCGCAUCAUCAUCGUCCGUCGGCGCACCAGCACCAGAGUCCUAAAAACAACAAUAACCAUAAUCAGUACACAAACGCUGUACGUUCUUUCAGUUCGCGACACACCGUCGAAUAAUCGCGGUUAUUAUUGCGUCAAAUUUGCAUACAAAGAAAAGAAAGAACACAAGAAUGUUUUUAAAGCGCGAGGUGAUCGAAAACAAAUUACGCAAGCACAACGAUGUAGAAAUAAUAAAAUUAAGAAAGAUUCCACCGCUUGCGGACCAAACCAAAUAAAUAAAACGAUGAUAGCCAGUUCGAGCAUCGUUGGAAUACAUCGUUUCCAGUUUUUCCGUGGAGGAACGACGUGGCUGAGUGAAGCUACACGUGUACUUACACGAGUCCGGUGUAUACUCGAGUGUGCACAGUGAAAAAAAAUGCCCGAACGCCGGCAGCUUAGCACCUGUUAAGGCUGCCUUUGUUAAACGAUUUUACGCGUUGUGCUUUCAAGUGCCACUUGCCUAUCACGGUCGUUGUGCGAUACCUUCGUAUUCGUCGUUAAAACUCAAAAGCUGCCGCUCGAUGUACGAAAUGUCGGCGAAGAUCCAAGAGAGAAACGUAAAAUACAGACGAAUUAGUAAUACGAGCCGUUUUUACAAAAGUUAUUUGGUUCAAAUGAACAUGUUAUGUGGUGCAAAUAACUUUGUUGUAAGUAAUACGAUUAUAGCGAAGUCGAGUAGCACCGACUUGUUGUCUGAAUGAACAGUUUCAUACCGUCGCCAUAUAUUAGGUUGUCCCAAAAGUUUCUUUCCCUUUAUUAACACGUUGGCUGCCAAGCUAAAACUCCUUAAAAUUUCUAUAAUGUUAAAAUGUUGUCUCCGUACAAUUGAACGUCAGAUAAUUUAAUAUCUGUCGCAGUAUUUAAUUUUUUAACGUCGUUAAAUUCACGAAUCUCCUUAAAACUCCUUAAAAUUUCUAUAAUGUUAAAAUGUUGUCUCCAUACAAUUGAACGUCGGAUAAUUUAAUAUCUGUCGCAGUAUUUAAUUUUUUUAACGUCGUUAAAUUCACGAAUCCUGUCCAGAUUCAUUUUCAUCAUUGUCUCACCUUUGAAAUUAAUAUUUUUAGUUCCUUAAUGGAAAAUCCUGUCACCUAUUUCUGGCUGACGUGGCGACCAACGUGUUGAUAAGUAAUACAUGCACAAUAGUUUACGUUUUAUGUUACAUUACCGAAUUGUGCACGAUUCAUUUUGCUCCAUUACUGUUACAACAUGAAUAUCUAUGAAAUUAGAUUGUCUAUUUAUAUAAACACGACCACAUCAAAUAAUUGGGUGAAACUCGCGAAAGAAACUUUCCGGACAACCUAAUACAAUGAAUUUAAUUGAAAAGUGUAAAAGUAGUAAGAAGUUAUCAUAGACUAACUAAAGAUUAAUCCAUUGUAUUUUCCAAAAGAAAAAAGGGGCUUAAAUCUUACAUGCAAGAAUGUUUUUGAUUGUAUUGGUUGUUUAUUACGUAAACAAAUGUUCCAGAAUUUUAUCUUUAAGUACCUUGUGUAAUAUGUUGUAAUGUGAAUGUUGAAUGAAUGGUAAUUGUAAUGUAUUAUAAUGUGAAUGUUGGAUGAAUGUUAAUAUUUAAAACCACUAGGUAUGUUUAUACGUUUUAUAGUUGUCAGUUAUGUUUGUGUUAGCAAUUUAUUGAUUAUUCAUUCAUUUUGUAUUUUGUAUCGCGAUUUCAUUUUCUCUACGAUAUGUUGUCUGUUGUCUUCGAAUUUUGACAGUUUCUUACGCU
Hylaeus volcanicus is the source of this 3719-nucleotide long non-coding RNA. RefSeq lists it as uncharacterized. The transcript is spliced from 5 exons. The record is from RefSeq and is a predicted model, not a curated record. NCBI's taxonomy places the organism in Eukaryota, Metazoa, Arthropoda, Insecta, Hymenoptera, Colletidae.